GGAUCUGACAUUGCUAUAGCUGUGGUGUAGGCUGCAGAUGCAGCUUGGAUUCAGUCCCUGGCCUGGGAACUUCCAUAUGCUGCAGGUGUGGGGGAAAAAAAAAUUGUGAAUUUCUAUCUAUUUCUGUGUAUCAUCUAAACCAGAAUAUCACAUGGGUUUUCUGUCAUGCACUGAUCAACUGGACGUUGGAUCCCUAGAUCACCAUGUUACAGACAUUUGGGAAGCCUUAGCUAGGAUUAGCAGGAUUGAUUAGUGAUGUCUGCCUUGGUCAAGAGAUGGGUGAGAGCACAUGAGUGCUUCGACAUUAGGUGGAUUUAUUAUUUCAUGAAACAAAAAGUAGGAAUGUGUGGUACCCUCCUGGUUGGUAAGUUUGUGGCUCAUGGACACCCUCAAGGACUCAGUUCUUUCCAUUAACCCUCUUCCAUCCUGACUAUGGUAGCCUUUGUCCUCAUAUUUGUCUCCUCAUAGUCCCAAAGUGGCUGCUAUGGCUCCAUGAGUAAGAACUUCACAGGAUAUAUGCCUGGACUAUUAGGGGAAAAAAUAUCCCUUCCUCUUUACUUUUAAGGGCAAAGAAACUGUUCCCAGAAAUCCCAUGCCUAUACAAACUAAGCCUCCCUUAUCACUGGCCAAAAUCGCAUCCCCCAAAUCAAUCACUGGAAAGAGAAAUGAAGUUACAAGUUUGUUAUAAUGUCAGCAAGAUACCUUCCCUAGAGCUGGAGGAAGAGGGUCAACCUCCUUUGAAGUAACUGGUCAUCCAAAACCUGAAGCAAAUCAAGGACGACUAGUAAGGAGAAAUGAGGGGUGGGUGGUUUGGUUGGCACCUUGGGGUACCUGUCCAACCAGAUCUCCUGCUGUAAUAUCUGGAAGACCUCUUCUGACACUGCAUGCUCACCUAAGCUUUCUCCUCUUUGCUUUCAGGUCUUCACCCCUCAACAUUACAGACAAGUUUACCCUUGGUUUGGGUAGGCAACGGCAGAGCCUACCCCACCAGGUAGCUGGUGUGAACUUGGCUAGACUUGCCUAGUUCAUGAAAUUUUAGAGCCAAUCAUGCUAAGGCAGAAGUUACAAGUGGUGGCCCAAAAUUAGAGUCUAGUGCUCAGACGAGUUUUGAUGUGUUUCUUUAAAAAAAAAAAAUUUUUUUUUUAAUCCUUAAAGUCCUUGCAAUAAUUCAAAAUAAUAUCAUUUUGGAGUUCCCAUUGUGGCUCAGUGGUAAGGGACCUGACUAGUAUCCAUGAGGAUGAGGGUUCAUUCUCUGCCCUUGCUCAGUCCGUUAAGGAUCUGGUGUUGCCAUGAGCUGUGAUGCAGGUCACAGAUGCAGCUUGGAUCUGGUGUUGCUGUGGCUGUGGCAUAGGCUGGUAACUGCAGCUCUGAUUCAACCUCUAGCCUGGAAACUUCCAUAUGCCUAAAAGACAAAAAUAAUAAUUUUAAAAAUAAUAAAAUAUUAUANAAUAGAAGAACUGGCAAUAACGGGUCCAUGUUCCAUCCCAACAACAAUCCAGUAGAAUCCAGUGCUUUCUAGUAGAAAGCACUGCUUUUGACUGGCACAUAUUCCUUCCUUUGCUCAAAUCGUCCACCCCUCUCUUUUGCAGUGCUUGAGCUGUUUUACUUCUGGCAACAGCAAGAAUGUGAACUAUUUCUUGUGCCCACAAUAAAUAUUGAAAUAUUUUAAAAAGUAGAUUUCAAUGGCUAUGUGUUUCCAGAAAAAUAGAAAAGAACGCUUUUUUUUUUCCGUCAAAAUAAAGAAUACUCCUUAAUGUUUAACGUGGGAUAAGAGUGUAUCUUUAAUUUUUUUAAUGCAAUUCUAGUCCCACCCUCACCCAUUUAUUUACCCUUGUCCAUUUUUGAGUUUUAUUUCCUUGGUACAGAGGCAAACUCUGGGCAAGAAGGAAGAGACCCACUCCUUCCUCUUGAAUUUCCCUAUUGGGUCAGCUCCUAGUGACAGAAUUCGUGGAGGACUUCCUAUUCCAGGCCACGCCCUCUGAGAGGUUCUAGCCAAUAAGUGCCCCCACUACCUCUGGUUUGUUGCCCAUUGGUGGAACUGAGAUAAUUGAUGCCUGUUACACCCAAUGGAAAUAUCCACUUGGUUACCUGCGGCAGCCACACGCCUCAGCUGGAUUUGAAACCAGAACUUUCAGAUUCUGCAGAGGAUGAAUAACCACCCACCACCUGGCGACGACAGUUGUAUGAUAAUUACCACGUCACUACUACCCUGUAGUGAUGCUUGACCAUUUCCCCUAAGACCUCUGCGCAAAGGGCAAGGCAUCUUUGAAUCAUUAUUAUUUUAAAAUUAUUGAGUGCUUCUUUUGAGGAGGCAUUGUUGAAACACUUUCCGUUAUGAAUUCUCUGCUAACCAUCUCAACAAUCCUAUGAAGUAAAUGACAUUUAUACGUCCAUUUUGCAGAUGAGGAAACUGGGGCAAAGCGAGGUUAACCAAUUUAAUUUGCCCAAGGCCUCAUAGAAUAGAGCCAGGAUUUGGGUACAAGCAAGCUGGCUCUGCCUGUCCAUCAGCAAAUUGAUUUCCUUCAUUUUAAAAGAAAUGUCUUCUUUUUUUUCUUGGUCUUUUUAGGGCUGCACCUGGGGCAUAUGGAGGUUCCCAGGCUAGUGGCUGAGUCGGAGCUGUAGCCACCGGCCUACACCACAGGCACAGCAACGCCAGAUCCAAGCCACCUUUGCGGCCUAGACCACAGUUCACGGCAACGUGGGAUUCUUAACCCACUGAGCGAGGCCAGGGAUCAAACCUGCAACCUCAUGGUUCCUAGUCAGAUUCGUUUCUGCUGAGCCACGAUGGGAACUCCUAAAGGAAAUGUCUUCUUAAAAUACAGUCUCAUUUAAAUAGGUCGUGAUUCAUCAUUUCAAAAUGGAGCUUGAUUCUCCAUCCACCAGGCUUAGCACCUUGAGCUAUUCCACCAGGGAAGCUGGAAUCAGGGAUGAGCUUCAACUUUUGUAUAGAAGGUCUCCAAUAUCAUCAUCAUCAUCAUCACAACAACAACGACAACAACAAACAGUAGCCAUAAAUCCUGGUUAAACAACACCCCUUCAGCUUGGGGCACUGAGCUAAGUGCUACACCGGAUGAAUCAUUGAUUCCGGUAACCCAUACAACAAUUCUGUGAGCAGCCCCUUUUUAGGGAGUUGGAAAUGGAGGUGCAGAGAGGUUAAGCCACUUGCCUGAGGUCUCACAGCAGCAGAGCCAGAAUUGAAUCCCCAUCAGUCACAGGUUAGGGCCCAGGUGCUCCACUGCUCUGAGGCUCCACCAGGAAGGAGGGGAUGCUACAUAAAUAACUCACUUAGGACUUCAUCUCAUUGUCCUAACAUGUAGCUAAAUGCAGAAGUCCUUUGUUCAAUGAUUGCCUGGUUAUCUCUGAGCUAUGGAGAUCGUGUUUUCUAGACCCAAGCUGGGGACACAUGGAUUUGACACAUGGUUAGACAACAGGGGAGGAAAUCAGAACUCCACGCUAUCUCAGGAACACUGGGGUGGAUGUUCCCUGUAGCUAUUCCACGUGUGCCCCUGUAACAUCUUGUCACAACAAUUAGCAAUGCACACAGCACGUCAGGAGUGUGCUACACCAAGCUCUGAGUUUUACCCGCGGACCCCUGUGGCUAUGGUAGGAGCCACACGGCUCUGCCUUAAUAAGUGUGAUCCGUUUCUAGAUCUGCCCAUCACAAGGUCAGACCCCCACAGACCUUCUCCAUGAAGACCUAACAGAUUGCUCAUGCCCCCUAUUAAGCAACCCCUUUAGCCUGGACAUUUUCUACCAGGGCCCCUUAUUAAUAUUGCUUGGUUGUGUUAUUUUAUUUUCACUUACUCUUGAACCUCAGAUUUACAAAGUGAUGAUGCUCAAUCCCCAGACCAUCGUCAUCAUUGAGCUGCAAAUGGCCUCUCUCUGGCUUUCUUCAUGUAUUCAUUCUGUUUCUCACCUUGUUCAUGUAGCACUAAGUUUUAAAGAACCAUCCACAUUUGCUAUUGGAUAGCUAGUCAACAGUUGUCAAUGCUUUUGCUGUCAGGACCCUUUCAUACUCUUGAAAAUUAUUGAGAACCCCAAAAAGCUGCUGAUAAUGUGGGUUAUAGAUACGAGUAUGUACAACAUUAGGAAUUGAAGCAGGAGUUCCCUGGUGGUGCAGCAGGUUAAGGAUCCAGCAUUGUCACUGCUGUGGUUCGGAUUCAUUCCCUGGCCUGGGAACUUCUGCAUGUCUUGAACAUGGCUGGAAAAAAAAAAAAGAAAUUAAAGCAUAAUUUUUAAAAUGAUUUUAUGAUAACUAGUAUGGUAAUAAUCCACUUCAAAUAGCAACAUAAGCCCAUUGCAUAUAACAUCUUGGAUGAGAAAUAAGGAUUUUGCAAGAUAAAAGCAAACUUAGUGAGAAGAGCUUGACUUUUCCGUUUUGGCAAACUUGGCAUAUCAGAAGGUAACUGGAACCUUCUACUGUUCUCCAUUUUUGCAAACCUAACGUAUCAGAAGGUACCUGGAAUCGUCUAUCAGCUUCUGCAUUCAAGUUGAUGUGAUAUGAUAUCAUGGUUGAUAUAGAACGUCAGCCUCACGGAGAUAUGUAGAUGGCAAAGGGCUGACGUCACGGACACUCUGAAAGGAUUUGGGGAGCCCUAGCUCCUUGGACCAUCCUUUGAGGACCACUGACUUCUGGGUGGUACCCUACAUACUGCCGCCCACCCUGUUUCACCCGUCUGUUCUCUCAGACACUUACACUUCUACAUAACCAUCUCUGCUCUCCAGUCGUGGGGCAUUCAGCAAUUCAUGUACAACAAUUAGCCCAGUGACUCUGACCAUUGUCUACAACAUUUGACACGUUCGUUCACAUCAUCUACACGUGUUUAUGGAAUUGCCUCUUUUAUGGGAAAUAGAGCGGUGAACGAGAUAGGUUCUCAUGGUCCUUAUAUUGCACUGGGAAGAGACGCUAUAAACAUAAAAACAUAAAUAAGCCCCCUUCCGUUAACAAGCAGCACUAUAAGGAAACUGAAAUAGGAUGUUUUAUCAGAAAGUAAAACCAAAAAAAAAAAAAAAAAAAAAAAAAAAA
This 5026-nucleotide long non-coding RNA is filed under the name Sus scrofa (pig). RNAcentral's name for it is "lncRNA (ENSSSCG00040056297.1)". The record is from RNAcentral. Lineage: Eukaryota; Metazoa; Chordata; Mammalia; Artiodactyla; Suidae.